AUACGGAGGGUGCGAGCGUUAAUCGGAAUUACUGGGCGUAAAGGACGCGUAGGCGGGUUGGCAAGUCAGAUGUGAAAUCCUACAGCUUAACUGUAGAACUGCAUUUGAAACUGCUAACCUAGAGUAUGGGAGGGGGAGAUGGAAUUAGUGGUGUAGGGGUAAAAUCCGUAGAUAUCACUAGGAAUACCGAAAGCGAAGGCGAUCUCCUGGAACAUAACUGACGCUAAGGCGUGAAAGCGUGGGGAGCAAACAGGAUUAGAAACCCUGGUAGUCC
RNAcentral lists this ribosomal RNA (274 nucleotides) under uncultured bacterium. RNAcentral's name for it is "partial 16S ribosomal RNA". It matches the Rfam family "Bacterial small subunit ribosomal RNA", at positions 523 to 796 of the family's 1533-position model. The record is from RNAcentral.